CAAAAUUUCUGAGGAGGGAAUAGAGGUUGAUAAGGCUAAGAUUGACGUGAUGAUGCAGUUACAGCCACCAAAAACUGUCAAAGACAUCAGGAGUUUUCUUGGACAUGCAGGAUUUUACAGAAUAUUCAUCAAGGAUUUCUCCAAGUUGGCAAGACCGCUCACCAGACUGCUGUGCAAGGAAACCGAGUUUGCAUUUGAUGACGAAUGUUUGACAGCCUUUAAGUUAAUCAAGGAAGCUUUGAUCACUGCACCAAUAGUCCAAGCUCCAAACUGGGACUUCCCAUUCGAGAUCAUGUGCGAUGCUUCAGUACGCAGUAGGAGCAGUCUUGGGCCAGCGGAUUGAUAAAAAGCUGCAUGUGAUCUACUACGCGAGCAGAACGAUGGAUGAUGCACAAGUAAGGUAUGCCACUACAGAGAAGGAAUUGCUAGCUGUGGUAUUUGCAUUUGAAAAAUUUAGAAGCUACCUAGUGGGUUCUAAAGUGACAAUCUACACUGAUCAUGCUGCUCUGAGGCAUAUAUACGCGAAGAAGGAUACCAAACCUAGGCUGUUGAGAUGGAUCUUAUUGCUCCAAGAGUUUGAUAUGGAGAUAGUUGAUAAGAAGGGAAUCGAAAACGGUGUAGCUGAUCAUCUGUCUAGGAUGAGGAUUGAAGACGAGGUCCUUAUUGACGACUCCAUGCCAGAAGAACAGCUAAUGGCAAUUCAGCAACUUAACGAGAGUGCUCAAAUUUAGAAAUCACUCGAUCAAGUAUGUGCAAUUGAAGAAAAGCUUCCGUGGUAUGCUGAUCACGUCAACUACUUGGUUAGUGGUGAAGAGCCUCCGAAUCUGUCGAGCUAUGAGAAGAAGAAGUUCUUCAAGGACAUUAACCAUUUCUACUGGGACGAACCUUAUCUCUACACACUCUGCAAAGAUAAGAUCUACAGGACAUGCGUCUCAGAAGACGAAAUUGAAGGCAUCCUAUUGCAUUGCCAUGGGUUUGCCUAUGGUGGCCACUUCGCAACGUUCAAGACAAUGUCGAAAAUCCUGCAAGCUGGUUUUUGGUGGCCAUCAAUGUUUAAGGAUGCUCAGGAAUUUAUCUCGAAAUGUGAUUCAUGUCAGAGAAGAGGGAACAUCAGCAGAAGGAAUGAGAUGCCUUAGAAUCCGAUCUUAGAAGUUGAAAACUUUGACGUUUGGGGAAUUGAUUUUAUGGGUCCGUUUCCUUCCUCUUACGGAAACAAGUACAUACUGGUCGCAAUAGACUAUGUAUCAAAAUGGGUGGAAGCCAUAGCCAGCCACACCAAUGAUGCUAGAGUUGUGCUAAAGCUGUUCAAGACAAUUAUCUUCCCUAGAUUUGGAGUCCCGAGAAUUGUGAUUAGUGACGGAGGGAAACAUUUUAUCAACAAGGGUUUUGAGAACCUUUUGAAGAAGCAUGGAGUAAAGCACAAGGUAGCCACUCCUUAUCAUCAAUAGACGAGCGGGCAGGUGGAAAUCUCCAAUAGGGAGAUAAAAGCAAUUUUAGAGAAAACUGUGGGAAGUACAAGGAAAGAUUGGUCUGCUAAGCUCAAUGACACACUAUGGGCUUACAGAACAGCCUUCAAGACCCCUAUUGGCACGACUCCUUUCAACCUCCUCUAUGGAAAAUCCUGUCAUUUGCCUGUUGAACUCGAGUAUAAAGCCAUGUGGGCAGUUAAGCUCCUGAACUUCGACAUUAAAACCGCCGAGGAGAAGCGGUUAAUCCAACUGAACGAUCUCAACAAGAUUCGCUUAGAAGCCUAUGAGAGUUCCAAAAUCUACAAGGAGCGAACCAAGUCUUUCCAUGAUAAGAAGAUAGUCUCAAGAGAUUUUAAGGUUGGUGAUCAAGUGUUGCUGUUCAACUCUCGCCUGAGGCUUUUUCCAGGCAAGCUCAAGUCUAGAUGGUCUGGUCCUUUCUCUGUUACUGCAGUCCGACCUUAUGGUGCUAUCACGCUAGCUGGAAAGAAUGGAGACUUCACAGUCAAUGGCCAGCGGCUCAAGAAAUACAUGAUAGAUCAGUUUAUUCCAGAAGGAACCUCUGUUCCUUUGGAGGAGCCUUUAAACGCCUAAUGAGUAUGAGGAGUCAAGCUAGAGACCUAAAACAAGCUCACUUGGGAGGAAGUCCCAAGCCUUCCUUUGUACAUAUCUUUCAUUUUCCUGGUUGUUUUUGAUGCAUCUUGUUAGUGUUUUCAGGAGAUAAGUAUGAAGAGUUGAUGGAAAUAGAUUCUGGCUUUGAAGGAACAGCAAUACACUCGACCACAGAGCAAUCAAACUCGACAUUGUUCUGGCUUCUUCACACCAGGAAAUCACUCGACCACACCCUAUAGAGAUCGAAUGACGAUGUGGUCGAGUAUAGCGAAUGAUGCAGUCACGACUUCUCCAGUCCCGUAGCUUACGCGACCGCGGUGCUGGCCGCAGCAGAAGAAGAGAGGUCGAGUAUCAUCAGAGCGGUGCUGGCUGCGACGAAGGAGCAGAGGUCGAGUACCCCCAGGGGGAAGCUGAGACACAACAGGGAGAUUCUUCGAUGGCCUGAGAGCAAUCACAGGCAGCUAUUGACGACCAACUCCGCUCCUUCUUCCACUGAGGUAUGCACCUCACUCCACCAUUGUAAUAUACCAUCUCUUGUUUUUAUUUUGUCUUUGAGAUGUGUUUUGUCCUGAGUACUCUCUUCCAAAUUUGGUCACACAGUGGACUGUGUGAUUUAAGUUUGGGGGAGGGCUCAGGAAGUGUGUGUUGCAUUGUAUAUAAUCUUGAGUGUGCAUUCAUCUAAGGCAUAGAAAAACCAAAAAAAAAAAAAAUUGAAAAAUUUCAGAAAAUGAUUUCACAAAAAUAGAGUGUUCAUGUAGUUGCAUUUCAUUUAGGAUCGAGUCUAGAGUGUUUCGUUUAGGAUUGUUGCAUAUGCAUAGGGGAUAAUGAUGAGAUAGCCUUGUAAGCAUUUUGGUUCACCAGAUAAAGCUCAGUGCCCUCGUUGUUAGUUGUUUGAUGCGUUGUCAUUGAAAUUGAAGUAAAAACUGCACCAUGCCUAGAUUCAAGUUCAAACUGAUAUCAUUCCCUAUCAAUUUGAACUUGAAUCUGAUUUAGAAUUAUCAUGUCUUGGCAUCGAAUUUGAACUCAUGGAUACCCUAAAAUACUUGGAUUUUCUUACUCAUUUUAACCACUCUUUAUUAGAGCAGUUAACCCAUACCCAAACCUGAACUUUCUUUCAAGCCCUAUAUCACUUGUGAGUGUUUGUGAGGUCUUAUUUCGAUUGAGCUUGGUAGAAAGUGUUAAUACGUAACGACAGAGAUAGUGUCUCAUGUAGUUCUAGUUCGCGUUCUUCGGACUGGAUAGGACUAGGUGGGCGCUUAUAUCAUGGGUUGGGAUGUGUUUAAAAGAAAAGAGGGAAUUCAUUGUUGAUGAGGAAAGGGAAAGAAUUCUAGGGGAAGUAAGCUAAAGAAGUUAGAAAAAAAAUCUAGUAAAGGUUUUGAGAAUGUUAAAGAAAAGAAUGAGGUUCUUGUUAGCUAAAGAAGAAGGGUUAAAAGCCUUUGGUUUUAAAGGAAA
This 3530-nucleotide small RNA is filed under the name Arabidopsis thaliana (thale cress). RNAcentral describes it as "ATSL032350". The record is from RNAcentral. Lineage: Eukaryota; Viridiplantae; Streptophyta; Magnoliopsida; Brassicales; Brassicaceae.